This 441-nucleotide long non-coding RNA is filed under the name Vombatus ursinus (common wombat). RNAcentral describes it as "lncRNA (ENSVURG00010008227.1)". Lineage: Eukaryota; Metazoa; Chordata; Mammalia; Diprotodontia; Vombatidae. The record is from RNAcentral.
CUUUGCUCAAGACAAUUCGAGAUGAACGUUAUAUGCUGGGGAGAGAACUUUGCAUCUGGGGGAUGAAGCUGAAAAACUCAGAUGUUGCAAGCCUAGCCAUACUUCUAGAGCUGCGAGGAUGUACCAUGAACCCAUUAUCUACCCUAGAAAUCAUUAACAGCCAAAUGGACCUGUGGUCUGUGGAGAGACUGAGCAAGUCUCUUCUUUCCAGCAAUUUGCUCUCAAUUAUAUUGGAUUACAACAAGUUUGGAAAUGAGGGAGUUGACAUUCUUAUGGCUGGCCUGGAAAAAAACCAGAAGCUUAAGAUUCUUAGCCUCCGUUAUUGCAAUCUGGGACCAACUGUAGGCUCAAAGCUGGGCUGGGCAAUUAGCCAAAGUGCCAUUUGGUAAGUCCAUCUAUCUAACGGCUAGAAUUAUUUUAGUCAAAGCCUCCGAAAGUUUU